Molecule: ribosomal RNA, 449 nt
Filed under: uncultured bacterium
Lineage: Bacteria
Description: bacterial SSU rRNA
Rfam family: Bacterial small subunit ribosomal RNA
Source: RNAcentral
CGCCAGACUCCUACGGGAGGCAGCAGUGGGGAAUAUUGCACAAUGGGGGAAACCCUAAUGCAGCGACGCCGCGUGAGCGAUGAAGUAUUUCGGUAUGUAAAGCUCUAUCAGCAGGGAAGAAAAUGACGGUACCUGAGUAAGAAGCCCCGGCUAACUACGUGCCAGCAGCCGCGGUAAUACGUAGGGGGCAAGCGUUAUCCGGAUUUACUGGGUGUAAAGGGAGCGUAGACGGCCAGACAAGUCUGAAGUGAAAAUCCAGCGCUUAACGUUGGAAGUGCUUUGGAAACUGCCGGGCUGGAGUGCAGGAGGGGCAGGCGGAAUUCCUAGUGUAGCGGUGAAAUGCGUAGAUAUUAGGAGGAACACCAGUGGCGAAGGCGGCCUGCUGGACUGCAACUGACGUUGAGGCUCGAAGGCGUGGGGAGCAAACAGGAUUAGAUACCCUAGUAGUA